UACGUAGGGUGCAAGCGUUAUUCGGAAUUAUUGGGCGUAAAGGGCGCGUAGGCGGCUAGAUGUGUCAAAGGUGAAAUCCCUCGGCUCAACUGAGGAACUGCCUUUGAAACUGUCUGGCUUGAGGCCGGGAGAGGGUAGCGGAAUUCCCAGUGUAGCGGUGAAAUGCGUAGAUAUUGGGAGGAACACCGGUGGCGAAGGCGGUUCUCUGGGCAUGUCCUGACGCUGAGGAGCGAAAGUGUGGGGAGCGAACAGG
This 253-nucleotide ribosomal RNA is filed under the name uncultured bacterium. RNAcentral describes it as "partial 16S ribosomal RNA". It matches the Rfam family "Bacterial small subunit ribosomal RNA", at positions 524 to 776 of the family's 1533-position model. The record is from RNAcentral.